Non-coding RNA from Elaeis guineensis (African oil palm), 210 nucleotides. NCBI's taxonomy places the organism in Eukaryota, Viridiplantae, Streptophyta, Magnoliopsida, Arecales, Arecaceae. The record is from RefSeq and is a predicted model, not a curated record.
AUCAGACCAGCAGCAGAUGGAGUCUAUGACAAAAUCCCUGGAUUUCAUCGUUGACACUGCUUCCGGUGAUCACCCCUUUGAUCCUUACAUGUCACUUCUGAAGAUUGGUGGAGUUUUGGUCCUAGUGGGCUUUCCUAGUGAAGUCCGUCUGAAUCCCGGAAGUCUCAACCUUGGUUCGAGAAGAAUUUCUGGCAGCUUGACUGGUGGUAC